GUGGAUUAGAUACCCGGGUAGUCCACGCUGUAAACGAUGGAUACUAGGUGUAGGAGGUAUCGACCCCUUCUGUGCCGGAGUUAACACAAUAAGUAUCCCACCUGGGGAGUACGGCCGCAAGGUUGAAACUCAAAGGAAUUGACGGGGGCCCGCACAAGCAGUGGAGUAUGUGGUUUAAUUCGAAGCAACGCGAAGAAGCUUACCAAGGCUUGACAUAAUAGUGAAUAUGGCAGAGAUGUCAUAGUCCUUCGGGACACUAUUACAGGUGGUGCACGGCUGUCGUCAGCU
RNAcentral lists this ribosomal RNA (288 nucleotides) under uncultured bacterium. RNAcentral describes it as "partial 16S ribosomal RNA". It matches the Rfam family "Bacterial small subunit ribosomal RNA", at positions 773 to 1060 of the family's 1533-position model. The record is from RNAcentral.